Molecule: long non-coding RNA, 2308 nt
Organism: Saccostrea cuccullata (small rock oyster)
Lineage: Eukaryota; Metazoa; Mollusca; Bivalvia; Ostreida; Ostreidae
Exons: 2
Source: RefSeq, a predicted model, not a curated record
CUAUUUAUAGAUUGGCUAAUCGUUGACUACAUUAAUGUAACUAUUUAUAGUUUGGCAGCUGCAUCCCCUCCCUAUAUGAUUUACUACGCAGACUGGCGAGACUGCUGGACCAAUCUCAAAAAGACUGGUGAGUUGAAUAGAGGAUCUUCAAUGUUCUGGAGAGCAUGUCCAAGCCUGGAUCGACAUAAUCAGAUGUAUAACCCGCCCAUCGACUCAUACAGGAAAUAUGCCAGCUUCUAAAAGCGAGGGAUCAACAGACCAAAUAUACAAACAAACUUUUAAAUGUGAACUACACACCAAAUAUACAAAAUGACUGAGCUGGCCUAAUAGAAAAGUUCAAUAGUAAAAGUCUAUAUCUGAUACUACUGUUAAGAAAUAAAGGUAUUAUUGUACGGUAACUGCAACUCAGUAUUAACAAAGGGGGAAAACUCAGCAACCCUCACCUAGUAGACUGUGAUGAUAUAACCAUAUCAGAAAUUGUGAUGACUACAUAUUAAGAAAUGUAUAAAUGUUCAUGGAUUUCAUUUCUCAAACCGAGAUUUCAGAUGCCAAACGUUGAAGAUGUUAAAGAUCUGUUAAUAAUUUUAAACUGGUAUUUUGGUGCAGAAGUUUUGAAAUUUGCCAAGAACGGAAUAUUUUUUUUUUUGUGGUCAGUGAUCAUGACAGUUGCAAUUUUUUCUUGUAUUCAUUGAAGGAUCUGUGAAGUUAUUUUUGUAAAAUUGACACAUCAUUUCUUUUUCUUUUCUUUUUUUAUAUUUUUAUCAUUUGUCAACUGAACAAAUAAUUUUUCAUCCUAAACUAGUUAAAAGAUAGUUCAUUUACAGACUUUUUUUGUAAUUCAACCAAUUCAUGAAAUACCUGAUUUAAUUUUUGGUAAUGACAGAUCUUCUUAUCAGUUUAAUUUUUUACUUAAAAGAGGUGCCCAGGGGUCAAAUGAGACAGUUUUUGUUAUAUUUUGAAAUGAAGAGAAUGUGAAAUGCAUAAUAUUUUUUUGUAGAAUACUGCUAGUUUUACAUUAAGAAUUACUGACCCUGCAUGAAGUGUCCAAAAUUUGUAAAUCACUUACCAAUUAUUUUGUAAAAUUUUCAUCUUCAACCAUAUCUCAAAAUUUGCUUAAUUUUCUUGUUCAUUGCCUCUCCUAUUAUAAAAUAGUUGCAGGAAAAAUAUGUUUUACUUAGCUGAGAAUUAAUGUCUUUGAGGGUUAAUACUUUUUUGUAUAUGUGCUUUCAUGUUUCUUAAACACAUAGUAUACAAUAUGUUCCUUCACCUUUUUUUCUGUUUUUAGAUAGUAUACAAUAUUUACUUGCUAUUUAGUUAAGUUAGAUAGUAUUUUAUUUCCUAUACAAGAUACAACUGUAUUUAUAGAUAGUUUAUCUUUAAACCAUGAACAGUAUUGGAACAUUUACUGUAGAUCACUAAACUUUCGCGACACCUUAUUUUCGCGAGAUAGUCAUUGACUCUUGAUUAGUGAGACAAAAAUUUCGCGAAUUGUGGUUAUUUCUCUAUAUAAUCUUAAGGAAUAUUAUUAUACACGAGAAUCAAAUUUUCGCGAGCACACUGUCUCGCGUAAUUACGCGAAAAUAAAGUUCUCGCGAAUAAAAAGUGAUUUACAGUAAUUAGCAUCAAGUGAUGAUAUAUGAAAAAUGAGGAAAAUCAUGCACUUAUGAAAGAUUUAUACAAAAUUUUAUCCACAAAGUGAAUGGGAUAGGGCAGUAGGCAAAACAUAUUUCAGCCCUCUCCCUAAGAAAUGAAUGAUACACUAGAAGUCAUUAAAUUUGAAAUAAUUUCCUUACUUUUGUAAAAUCAUCAUUAGAUCUUUCGUUGCUGAUAUACCAUAUAAGUAGAAUUUUUAGCGAGGAUUUAAUUUUGGCAUUAUUAGCGAGAGUGUCGAGAUCGCUUAAAUUGAAUCUCGCGAAAAAUUAAUUGCGUUUUAUUUGUAAUAGCUUCUUUAAUAUACAUUUUUAGAUCGCAAAAAUAACAUCUCGCUAAAAAUAAAAUACCAGGUUUUAAGGACAAAUUGCUAAAUUUGCGUCUUGCUAAAAUUUCUACUUAUACGGUAGUAGUUGAAUUAAGUAAUACAGUGUUUAAUAUUUUGUUACAUUUAAGAUUUUAUCACAGAAAAAAAUUAGGUGUAGUUUUGCAGGAAUAUUUGAAAAAUUAAAAAAAGGUCAUCUAAAUUACCAAAUUGAUAUACUUGUACAUGUAGCAUAAAUACAUUUAAAAAUGGUUAACAUUCAAUCAUAUAGACCAUGAUAUGUACAUAUGUAACUAUGUACUUAAAUAAGAAAUAAAUUUUAAUCCAGAAUCA